UACAUAAAUUGAUAAAAAAGUAAUGAAAAGUGUAAAUAACAAAGAAAUGUACAAUGCAUACUUGCAUAGUAUUAAAGAUGAAAGAUUGUUCAUCGCUUUGGCCACCAGGUGGCCCUAAAACACCAGAUUCAAGUAAUGAACCCUUUCUGAUCAACUUCAGUGGAAAGCGAUCUGACGUCAUUGAUCAGAAGAACAGCAGCAGCUGCAGUAGCCACGCCCAUCAGAGCAGUGACCACCAAUCGCAUCACAGCUUCAACUGUAUCACAACAAUGGAUGUAGACUUCUGAGAGAUUCACAUGACCCACAUUCACCACUGAAC
Long non-coding RNA from Carassius auratus (goldfish), 319 nucleotides. RefSeq lists it as uncharacterized. The transcript is spliced from 3 exons. The record is from RefSeq and is a predicted model, not a curated record. Lineage: Eukaryota; Metazoa; Chordata; Actinopteri; Cypriniformes; Cyprinidae.